GGGGGAGGAGGUUGUCCCGGGCCCAGGUGAAUGGAGGAACCUGACAGUUGGGGGGAGUGAGGUGGCGGCGGCGGGGAAAUGGCGGCGGCAGCAGCACAAUGAGACGCGGCCUGUAGUGGGGGGAAGCGCCAGACUGAGUCCCGUCCGAGCAGAUGUGGCACAAAUUACCUGGAAAGAGUUUUGCUGGGAUAAGAGUGUGUUGGUGGCAGCAUGAAGACUGCUCUGCUCUCCAUCCGCUUCUCUGCUGCUUCAUGGAUGCCUUCAGAGACUCUGGAUUUGAUUGACCUCUGGAGAACUGUGUGUUCAGUCAGUCUGACCUGCUGGAAUUGGUCAUCUCCAGGGUACUGUGAGGAUAAAUGAGGGCAAGAAAGUACUCCUAAUGCAGUACUCAUCGCUAAGUGAAAGCACUGAAGUAUUUGUGGAGCUGCCCAGCAAAAAGAUGUCAAGAAAUGUUUCCAUAAUGUGUCUGCCAUUGAAACAGUCAUAAGAUGUCAAACACAGGAUUUUCCCAAAUUAAUUCAGAUUAGAAGAAUGAUGUGAUAACUGCAAAAGAUCAUGUGUGAAUAUGUAUUUUAUUUUUCUAAAUUCAAAAUGAGAGAGAUGUGUUCUGCUGCUUAUCUGAUUCUCUUGUAAUCUCCCAGCCUUUUUUGUCAAUGACCAGAAUUUCUGCAGUGAAUGUACGUGCUAGGCUGUCUGUCACUUUUUUGUGGGUCCUGAUGUGUCCAGAGUAGAAGGGCAGAAAGGGGAGAUUGUCCAGGCUCUGCUGAUGCUGCUGUCAGGGAGACCUCAAAGAAUUUGUCGGUUUUCUUUUUCAGAAAAUGCAGAACUAAUUAAAUAGUAAAACACCUCAGUUUUUGCGGAUGGUUGCUUGAUAUCAGCUGCUUAAUGUUGCUGUAAUUAAGAAAACUGUAAAAUGUCUACUGUUAUACUUCUGGUAAUUAAGUGAUAUUAGGCAUAGUGAUAGGUUGUUUGGCAGCUUCCCUGCAAACUACAGUUGAUGUGGUAAGAAGAGGACAGAAUUCUUUCUUUUGCUUCAUGUUUUCUGGUUUUUGGUGUACUAUGAUUAGAUAACCAGUGCCAUGGAGCUGGUAGUUGAGGUAAAGCAAAAUCUACAGUAAUAGUUUUAAAAAAGAGGCUCUGCUGUAACUAGUACAUUAGUGUUUUGUCCAGAAAAUGCAGUUCACAAUUAAUUGAAUUACAGAACUAUAGUUUAGUGUCAUGGGAGAGAGGAACUCCCCUCGACUGAUGGCUGUGGACUGGGAUCUCUCUGUCUUUCCAGUACAGUAUUGUGCCAGUUAUUCAGAGAUGGCCUGGAAUUGAAAGAAGCAUAGGAGUAUAUUAAUUCUGAGUAGUGCUCAGCAGGAAAGUUAAUUGGCAGGUGCAAUACUAUAUUAAUUUAGUUAUGUUGCUUCUAGAACCCAAGUUAGAGUCAGAAACCCUCAACUGCUCCAUCUACAGGGAUUUAACUCCUUUAAAACAUUAUUUCUCAUUCUUGGGUGAUUUUAGAUAAUAAUGUACAAAAUUGGAAUUGUUAAGCAAUAUUCCAUUAUCUUCUAACCUGCCUCAAUAAUCAUUAAAUGAGUGACGCAAUAUUUAGUAAACCACAAAUGCUUUGAAGUUUGGAGCCAUCCUUUCAUUUGCAUAGCUGGGAAUGCUUUUACUUAUAUGCCGAAGUAGCUUUCAAUCCAUUCUGAGAAACAAAGGGUAAAAAAUUAGAUGAUCUCCCCCCACCUCCCAUCCCCCCCCCCCCCUUUUUUUUUUUUCUUAAAUGGUGGCUGUAGCAAAACAGCUUACUACGGUUUCUGAAGCUUUUCUUACAUCAUUCAACAAGGAGGAACAACUUGGAUGCUUUUUCUAGCUACAUAGUCUGAGUACCCACUACUAUAUAUAUAUAGUGUGCAGAGUUAAUGUGAAAAAUUAGACUAAUGCUGUACUGGACUGAAGAUAUUCUUAACUGUAACGUAGACUUGGCAUUGGGCAAAAAUACCUAUUAAUAUACAUUCAGAGAAAUCCAUCAGGGUUACCUGUGUUAGCCCCAGUUAUUCUUUUUCUUCUUGCAUUCAUUCUGCUGCUGUGGAAGAUUGACAGAUGGUUGAAUCAGGAAUGGAUCUGUUUUCUGAUUUGUGCCUGUGCACUGGGAGUGUUACUGGUGCUUAGUUCCAUCAGUAUUGGAGCUAAGGGACCCUUAAGAAUGGGUUACUUCACAACUCUGGCAUGCAGGCUUUGCCCUUGUGCUAUCUUUCAUAGUUGAUCAGAAUGUGAAAAGCUUUCAAAGGCAAAAAAAGGCAUUAACAUUUGAAAUGUCUCCAUCAAUAUUUAGACAUUUGUGAUCCCACAUAUUAGGGAGAGGAAGCUGUUUUAUUUUGCAGGUCAUGAUUAUUUUAUUUUUUCAAAUUCAAUCAUUAUUCAAUAUGUAAACCUAAUCUUGAACCUAAGGCUUCCACUUAGGGCACCUGUGAAAAGUAAAGGUUUGUUUCUUAAAUGAAAACUUUAAGUUCUAUGGCACAAGUCGAAGUCCUUAAAUCUUUGCAAACCACUCCAGUUUUUCUUAACUAUAGUUCAGGACUGAGAAUACACAAAACAAGCAUUUCUCAUCACAUACUGUUAUUUUUUGCCACUUUACCUCAGAUAAGAGCUUCAGCUCUCUCAUCACUACCUUUUCCCCAAAGUAAAUUCUUAAAUAUAUUUGAAUCAGUUUCAGUGUGAUGUCAAUUGUUCUUGAAGGUCAACAGUGCUACAAAUUAUGUGUGAUAUGAAAAUACUGCAUAGAUCUUCUAGCUUUAUACUGUUGAAAUGUAGUAUUUAUGGCUUCUCACCAGUUUAAAAGCCCAGUCAGUAUACAAUGUGCUUUAUUGGACAAUGUUGAAAAAUGAAGAUUGAUCCAUUAAAAUAAAUAAGAAUUGUUAAUUGA
This is a long non-coding RNA of Columba livia (rock pigeon), 2911 nucleotides long. RefSeq lists it as uncharacterized. The transcript has 3 exons. The record is from RefSeq and is a predicted model, not a curated record. Lineage: Eukaryota; Metazoa; Chordata; Aves; Columbiformes; Columbidae.